RNAcentral lists this ribosomal RNA (467 nucleotides) under uncultured bacterium. RNAcentral's name for it is "partial 16S ribosomal RNA". It matches the Rfam family "Bacterial small subunit ribosomal RNA", at positions 28 to 507 of the family's 1533-position model. The record is from RNAcentral.
GAUGAACGCUGGCGGCGUGCUUAACACAUGCAAGUCGAACGAUGAAGCCCAGCUUGCUGGGUGGAUUAGUGGCGAACGGGUGAGUAACACGUGAGCAACCUGCCCCUGACUCUGGGAUAAGCGCUGGAAACGGCGUCUAAUACUGGAUAUGUCCCGUCACCGCAUGGUGUGCGGGUGGAAAGAUUUCUCGGUUGGGGAUGGGCUCGCGGGCUAUCAGCUUGUUUGUGAGGUUAUGGCUCACCAAGGCGUCGACGGGUAGCCGGCCUGAGAGGGUGACCGGGCACACUGGGACUGAGAGACGGACCAGACUCCUACGGGAGGCAGCAGUGGGGAAUAUUGCACAAUGGGCGGAAGCCUGAUGCAGCAACGCCGCGUGAGGGAUGACGGCCUUCGGGUUGUAAACCUCUUUUGGCAGGGAAGAAGCGAAAGUGACGGUACCUGCAGAAAAAGCACCGGCUAACUACGUG